This 375-nucleotide ribosomal RNA is filed under the name uncultured eukaryote. RNAcentral's name for it is "partial 18S ribosomal RNA". It matches the Rfam family "Eukaryotic small subunit ribosomal RNA", at positions 592 to 976 of the family's 1831-position model. The record is from RNAcentral.
CAAUAGCGUAUAUUUAAGUUGUUGCAGUUAAAAAGCUCGUAGUUGGAUUUCGGUUAAGAGCGACCGGUCCGCCGUUUGGUGUGCACUGGUUGGUUUUAACUUCCUGUAGAGGACGUGCUCUGGGUUUUACGACCUGGACUCGGAGUCUACGUGGUUACUUUGAAAAAAUUAGAGUGUUCAAAGCGGGCUUACGCUUGAAUAUUUCAGCAUGGAAUAACACUAUAGGACUCCUGUCCUAUUUCGUUGGUCUCGGGACGGGAGUAAUGAUUAAGAGGAACAGUUGGGGGCAUUCGUAUUUCAUUGUCAGAGGUGAAAUUCUUGGAUUUAUGAAAGACGAACUUCUGCGAAAGCAUUUGCCAAGGAUGUUUUCAUUAA